Molecule: small nuclear RNA, 162 nt
Organism: Papaver somniferum (opium poppy)
Lineage: Eukaryota; Viridiplantae; Streptophyta; Magnoliopsida; Ranunculales; Papaveraceae
Product: U1 spliceosomal RNA
Exons: 1
Source: RefSeq, a predicted model, not a curated record
AUACUUAUCUGGAUGGGGUUUAUGGUUGAUCAAGAAGAAUCAUGACAUAUGUUAGUUGACUUCCAUUGCACUUUGGAAGGGCGCUCGCCUAAGAUCACUUCAUCGAGGGAGAGUCUACGUCAUAAUUUGUUCCUGAAUUGGGUCCAAGAGCAUAGCUCAGUG